CUUGCUCUCUCACGCUCUGUGAGUCUGUGAGUGAGUGUAGCUGUCAGUGUGUGACUGUGAGUGAGUGAACGUGUGUGUCUGUCAGAGUGUAUCAAAUCAGUGAGGUUGGCUAUGUCUGUGAGUGUGUGUCAGUGUGUGUCUGUCAUUUUAUGUGUAUCUGAGAUUGUGUGUCUGUCAGUGAGUGGGUGUGUUAGUGUGUGUCUGUCAGUGAAAGUGUGUGUUGAUUAAACAGUGUGUGUGCCAAUGACUGUAUGUGUGUGCCAAUGACUGUGUAUCUGCAAUUGAGUGUAUGUCAGUGCAUGUGUCAAUGAGGGCCUGUGUCUAUCAGUCAAAAAAGUGGCCUUCACACGAAUU
This is a non-coding RNA of Pelobates cultripes (western spadefoot toad), 354 nucleotides long. Lineage: Eukaryota; Metazoa; Chordata; Amphibia; Anura; Pelobatidae. The record is from the annotation of a GenBank genome assembly.